Teleopsis dalmanni is the source of this 898-nucleotide RNA transcript. It is a transcript of the gene named synaptobrevin, with no coding region annotated. NCBI's taxonomy places the organism in Eukaryota, Metazoa, Arthropoda, Insecta, Diptera, Diopsidae. The record is from RefSeq and is a predicted model, not a curated record. The transcript is spliced from 5 exons.
AAUGCAACGCUGUAUUUACACAAAAUUUUUAGUAUUAUUAAAAUUUUAUUUAAGAAGGCAACACCGUCAGUUAUUCAUCAUUGCGUUGGAAAUUCUUCGGCAGCAUUAUUUUCAUUUCUUUUGAUUUACUUUGUGUUUAUUUUAGUAUUUGUAGAGCAAUAAGAACGCAAGUAAAAUCUUGUGUGUAAGAAAUACACUUAUAAAAAAUAUUAAAAAGCCGUGACUUAAUUUGCAAGUUAACAUAUCGCAUAUAAAAAUGGAUAACCGAAAUGAUGUGCCAACCGCGUCGGGAUCAAAUGAUAUUCCUGUUCUACCCCCACCUCCUAAUUCAUCGUAUCCCAGCAAUAACAACCAACAAAGCAAUGCCCAGAAGCGCUUACAGCAGACUCAGGCCAAAGUCGAUGAAGUCGUUGGUAUUAUGAAGGUGAACGUUGAAAAGGUCUUGGAACGUGAUCAAAAACUGUCGGAGUUGGGUGAACGCGCCGAUGCGCUCGAACAAGGAGCUUCACAGUUCGAGCAACAGGCUGGAAAAUUAAAACGCAAACAAUGGUGGGCCAACAUGAAAAUGAUGAUAAUAAUGGGAGUCAUUGGCGUUGUACUGUUAAUAAUUAUUAUCGUGCUACUCUUUAACUAAUUUAAUACAUAUUUUAUCGGAAAAAUAAAUGUAAGAUAUUUAGACUCUUUAUACCAAUUCCAAAAUUCUUUAAAUUGUGCAUCCUAAAAAAGAAAUAAUUGAUUGGCAGGAAAUUAGGUUUGGCAAAGUUGAGUUUCGAUAUUAACGUAGUCAGAGUCAGUCAAUCCAUAAUGUCGGUAAUGCCUUCCGGUGGAGGAAGCAGUUCUAAUCAAGUUAAGGAAGCUGUGACACAAGCACCACAAAAUUAGGCUGACUAACAUCUGA